Molecule: transfer RNA, 92 nt
Filed under: Verrucomicrobia bacterium ADurb.Bin474
Lineage: Bacteria; Pseudomonadati; Verrucomicrobiota
Description: tRNA-Ser
Rfam family: tRNA
About the family: Transfer RNA (tRNA) molecules are approximately 80 nucleotides in length. Their secondary structure includes four short double-helical elements and three loops (D, anti-codon, and T loops).
Source: RNAcentral
GGAGAGAUGACAGAGUUGGUCUAUUGUGCACGAUUGGAAAUCGUGUGUGCUCCAAAAGGGCACCGGGGGUUCGAAUCCCCCUCUCUCCGCCA